RNAcentral lists this ribosomal RNA (484 nucleotides) under uncultured bacterium. RNAcentral's name for it is "partial 16S ribosomal RNA". It matches the Rfam family "Bacterial small subunit ribosomal RNA", at positions 30 to 507 of the family's 1533-position model. The record is from RNAcentral.
AUUGAACGCUGGCGGCAGGCCUAACACAUGCAAGUCGAGCGGAUGAAGGGAGCUUGCUCCUGGAUUCAGCGGCGGACGGGUGAGUAAUGCCUAGGAAUCUGCCUGGUAGUGGGGGAUAACGUCCGGAAACGGGCGCUAAUACCGCAUACGUCCUGAGGGAGAAAGUGGGGGAUCUUCGGACCUCACGCUAUCAGAUGAGCCUAGGUCGGAUUAGCUAGUUGGUGGGGUAAAGGCCUACCAAGGCGACGAUCCGUAACUGGUCUGAGAGGAUGAUCAGUCACACUAGAACUGAGACACGGUCCAGACUCCUACGGGAGGCAGCAGUGGGGAAUAUUAGACGAUAGGCGAAAGCCUGAUCCAGCCAUGCCGCGUGUGUGAAGAAGGUCUUCGGAUUGUAAAGCACUUUAAGUUGGGAGGAAGGGCAGUAUGUUAAUACCGUGCUGUUUUGACGUUACCAACAGAAUAAGCACCGGCUAACUUCGUG